AGAAAAAGAAAAUGACACCCCCUCCUUCGUCGCCCUCAUCACCACCCCACCCCCCGGCCCCAUCCAUCCUCCCUUUCCACUCCCCUUUGCCAGCCUCCGCCUCGGUGCGGGGCCUCUCGCUCGCAGGAUUAGCGCAGUGGGAGGAGGCAGAGGUGAUCAGGUCCUGCCCGGCCUGGGACUUUUUGUCUUGAGGUGGGGAGGGGAGAAAUGGGAAGAGGUGGAGUAGCGGUUUUAGCCCGCUCUGCGGCUGCGAGGUUUAGAUCCGAGAUUAACCUCUCCCGCGAUAGGUGAAGCCCUACCGGAGCAGAAAGCUGUUCCACCUGCACCAAGAAUGCGCGCUGGAGACGGUUGCCCCGGAGGCCCUGGCCCGAGAGAAAACCAGUCCCCGCUGCCCGCGCCUCCCGGUAGCGCGCUCCCUGCGCCUCUCCCGCCGGACACUCAGCAGACGCCGGAGGCCGGGAGGCUAAGACUGGGCGCGUCGCAGGCCGGGACCGCGGCAGAGGCUGCUGUGCCGACCGAGGAGAGGGCUCUGCCGCCCCCACUUGCCCUGGGUGUCGAGAGCCCACUCCAGACGCGGCUCUUCUGAGGCUCAAUUCAAGCCACCCAGGCCUGAAUCCAGGGUGCUCUCUCUAAGUCGGUGUCCAACCCAGGGGCCUGUAAAUGUUGGAACCUAGGAUGUAGGAUGGGAGCGGUGAAGGGAUGGUCCUCUUGCCCAGCCCAGAUUAAGACUGGGGUUCAUCUGGAGGACUCUACUUACACCCUCCCGGUCCCCUCGCCCUCCCCCACACACAGCUGCCUCUCCCCAGGAUAUGCGCGGCACAGUGAAUUUAGUGGCUUUGAAAGGUAUAGUAUUUGUGGCAUCCUUAUAUGGAUAAUGCCCAAUGAUGCCUGCACCCUGUAACAGUUUAGGAAGGCCUGAAGUCGCACACUGGGUCCUGGCUGCUGUAACUGGAGACCCCCAGAAGAUCCCCUGCAAGCAGCCACCAGCCUGCUGUCAAGCCAAUAAUAAAAGCUCAGCACAAACAGAGAUGAAGAAACUCACAUUGAGAAGAGUUAAGAAACUUGCUCAAAUUCAUAAAAUCAAGAGGAGAGGUGGAUGUAAUUAAAACCAAGCCUUUGACAAAUCAAGGAAACUUUUCAUGUCGUCACUGCUACCUCAUCCGUGGCCACAAAAUCUCAGUCAAGAUCUAGGGUUGAUGCAAACUGGAGUCAUUCCCAGUAUCCACAACACUUCUCUUGUGUCUUCUGGGAAGCUAAGAUUUCAUCCCUUGAGUUUCAUUGCUGCCUGAAUCUAUUGCAUCUUACUUGAGAGCCUCAUUUAUUCCAUGCUACAAGAUCCAUGCAAGAUUCCAGGAUCACCAAGAUCACUCCAGGAAAUGAAGAGAUCAAGAGAGCUGCCAUGGACAAGUCUCUGCCUCUCUGCUUCAGCUUCUAGUUCCCUCAUAAUAUAGGACAAUUCCUUGUACAAAACGGGUGCUCCAUAAAUAUUUGUUGAAUGAACUUCUUUUCUAGAUGGUGACGUGAUGGCAACCUUAAAACCUCAUGCCAUUCUUCCUCAUCAUUCUCUGGGUUAAAGAAAGGCCUAAACUUUUCCAGCAAUUGACAGAGCCUUGGUGUGUCAUAUUGCCUCAUUGUGCCUCAGUUGUCCCAUCACUCCCACUUGGGAGAGGAUAUGAAUGAAUGGAUCUUAGUUUUAAAGAGCUGAAGGUGGAAUUCAGUUGCCUGAUUGCUAGCAUAGAUAGUACCUCUAUGUAUGUGCCAUUUCUUUUUUUUUUUUUUUUUGAUUGUUUAGUUCAUUUAUUUGUGUAACCAAUUUUGAUUAAAAGCUGAACACUGUGCUGGAAGCUGAGGCUUCACUGGUGUAGGGAUGCCAUUUCUGCCCCCUAAGAAUCACAAGGGCUAGAGCAUUGCAGGAGGUCCUUACAGCAACAAUUACCAUGAACUAAGCCUUUGCUUAGUGCAGGCACUGUGUUAAGAGGGAAGUUAGUAAUGUUCUUCCCAUUUUAGAAUUUUGUAACUAUAAAAAUAUAAUGCAGGCUUAAGAAAGAGCAGUUUAAAAUGACAUAAAUAAACCUUUGUUUUAGGGAAAGUUUGCAUAUGUUUGUGCUUCUGUGUUAUACUAAGAAUCCUGAGCAAUUCCCACUUCAGUAUAAAAUUCUAGUGGUGUGAGGGCAAAAGGUGAAAAAGAGUUUUAAAAAGGUAAAAAUUUAUACAUGCUAGAAAAAAAAUGAGAAUUGUUUUCAUUUUCAUGAUUCUUCAGAAAAUUUAUUUAUUAGAAAUAUUUUAACUACUUAAAUAAAAGAUUUUUUAAAGUAUUUUUUUCAUAAUCCCAA
RNAcentral lists this long non-coding RNA (2333 nucleotides) under Homo sapiens (human). RNAcentral describes it as "FBN1 divergent transcript, transcript variant 2 (FBN1-DT)". The record is from RNAcentral. Lineage: Eukaryota; Metazoa; Chordata; Mammalia; Primates; Hominidae.